GACGAACGCUGGCGGCGUGCCUAAUACAUGCAAGUCGAACGCAGUGGGGACGGGUGAGUAACGCGUGGGUAACCUCCCAUCAGAGGGGAUAACACUUGGAAACAGGUGCUAAACCGAUACUGAUGGAUGGACCCGCGGUGCAUUAGCUAGUUGGUGAGGUAACGGCUCACCAAGGCCACGAUGCAUAGCCGCCCUGAGAGGGUGUGCGGCCACACGGGGACUGGGACACGGCCCAGACUCCUACGGACGGCAGCAGUAGGGAAUCUUCGGCAAUGGACGAAGUUCUGACCGAGCAACGCCGCGUGAGUGAAGAAGGUUUUCGGUUCGUAAGACUCUGUUGUUAGAGAAGCGGUAUCUAACCAGAAAGCCACGGCUAACUACGUGCCAGCAGCCGCGGUAAUUC
RNAcentral lists this ribosomal RNA (403 nucleotides) under uncultured bacterium. RNAcentral's name for it is "partial 16S ribosomal RNA". It matches the Rfam family "Bacterial small subunit ribosomal RNA", at positions 28 to 526 of the family's 1533-position model. The record is from RNAcentral.